UACAGAGGGUGCAAGCGUUGUUCGGAAUUAUUGGGCGUAAAGCGCGUGUAGGCGGCUCGAUAAGUCUGCUGUGAAAGUCCAGGGCUCAACCCUGGAAGGCCGGUGGAAACUGUCGGGCUAGAGUCCGGAAGAGGCGAGUGGAAUUCCCGGUGUAGCGGUGAAAUGCGCAGAUAUCGGGAGGAACACCAAUGGCGAAGGCAGCUCGCUGGGACGGUACUGACACUGAGAGACGAAAGCUAGGGGAGCGAAUGGG
RNAcentral lists this ribosomal RNA (253 nucleotides) under uncultured bacterium. Its description in RNAcentral is "partial 16S ribosomal RNA". It matches the Rfam family "Bacterial small subunit ribosomal RNA", at positions 524 to 776 of the family's 1533-position model. The record is from RNAcentral.